This is an unclassified non-coding RNA of Cavia porcellus (domestic guinea pig), 96 nucleotides long. It matches the Rfam family "Y RNA". From Rfam's summary of the family: Y RNAs are components of the Ro ribonucleoprotein particle (Ro RNP), in association with Ro60 and La proteins. The Y RNAs and Ro60 and La proteins are well conserved, but the function of the Ro RNP is not known. Lineage: Eukaryota; Metazoa; Chordata; Mammalia; Rodentia; Caviidae. The record is from Ensembl.
GGCUGGUCCGAUGGCAGUGGGUUAUCAGAGCUUAUUAACAUUAGUGUCACUAAAGUUGGUAUACCACCCCCCACUGCUAAAUUUGACUAGCUUAGA